RNAcentral lists this long non-coding RNA (314 nucleotides) under Coturnix japonica (Japanese quail). RNAcentral's name for it is "lncRNA (ENSCJPG00005001650.1)". The record is from RNAcentral. Lineage: Eukaryota; Metazoa; Chordata; Aves; Galliformes; Phasianidae.
GUCCCGCUAUGGGGCUGUAUGUCCCUCUAUGGGGUUUUAGGUCCCUCUAUGGGUCUGUAUGUCCCACUAUGGGGUUUUAGGUCCCUCUAUGGGGUUUUAGGUCCCACUAUGGGGUUUUAGGUCCCUCUAUGGGGUUUUAGGUCCCACUAUGGGGUUUUUGGUCCCGCUAUGGGGUUUUAGGUCCCACUAUGGGUCUGUAUGUCCCACUAUGGGGUUUUAGGUCCCACUAUGGGGCUGCACAUCCCUCUAAUGGGGUUUUAGCGUCCGCUACUGGGGUUUUAGCGUCGCGCGUUAUGGGGCUGUACUCCCUCUAU